RNAcentral lists this signal recognition particle RNA (291 nucleotides) under Cebus imitator (Panamanian white-faced capuchin). RNAcentral describes it as "Metazoan signal recognition particle RNA (ENSCCAG00000005387.1)". It matches the Rfam family "Metazoan signal recognition particle RNA". From Rfam's summary of the family: The signal recognition particle (SRP) is a universally conserved ribonucleoprotein. The record is from RNAcentral. Lineage: Eukaryota; Metazoa; Chordata; Mammalia; Primates; Cebidae.
GCUGGUGCAGUGGCACAUGCCUGUAGUUCCAGCUACUCAGGAGGCUGAGGUGGGAGGAUCGCUUGAGCCCAGGAGUUCUAGGCUGUAGUGCCCUAUGCCGACUGGGUGUCCUCACUAAGUUCAGCAUCAAUAUAGUGACCUCCCAGGAGCAGGGGACCACCAGGUGGCCUAAGGAGGGGUGAACCAGCCCAGGUCUGAAAUGGAGCAGGUCAAAACUCCCAUGCCGAUCAGGAAUCAUGCCUGUGAAUAGCCAGUGCACUCUAGCCUGGGCAACAUAGUGAGAUCCCAUCA